UACGAAGGGGGCUAGCGUUGUUCGGAAUUACUGGGCGUAAAGCGCACGUAGGCGGAUACUUAAGUCAGGGGUGAAAUCCCGGGGCUCAACCCCGGAACUGCCUUUGAUACUGGGUAUCUCGAGUCCGGAAGAGGUGAGUGGAAUUCCGAGUGUAGAGGUGAAAUUCGUAGAUAUCGGAAGGAACACCAGUGGCGAAAGCGGCUUCCUGGUCCAGCACCGACGUUCAGGCACGAAAGCGUGGGGAGCAAACAGG
RNAcentral lists this ribosomal RNA (253 nucleotides) under uncultured bacterium. RNAcentral describes it as "partial 16S ribosomal RNA". It matches the Rfam family "Bacterial small subunit ribosomal RNA", at positions 524 to 776 of the family's 1533-position model. The record is from RNAcentral.